UCCUUGUUGGCUCAGAGGUUAAAGUGUCUGCCUGCAAUGCGGGAGACCCAGGUUCGAUCCCUGGGUCGGGAA
This 72-nucleotide transfer RNA is filed under the name Bos taurus (domestic cattle). It matches the Rfam family "tRNA". Rfam says of the family: Transfer RNA (tRNA) molecules are approximately 80 nucleotides in length. Their secondary structure includes four short double-helical elements and three loops (D, anti-codon, and T loops). The record is from Rfam by way of RNAcentral. RNAcentral also lists the same sequence under 2 other names. Lineage: Eukaryota; Metazoa; Chordata; Mammalia; Artiodactyla; Bovidae.